This 354-nucleotide ribosomal RNA is filed under the name uncultured Pseudomonas sp. Its description in RNAcentral is "bacterial SSU rRNA". It matches the Rfam family "Bacterial small subunit ribosomal RNA", at positions 1028 to 1382 of the family's 1533-position model. Lineage: Bacteria; Pseudomonadati; Pseudomonadota; Gammaproteobacteria; Pseudomonadales; Pseudomonadaceae. The record is from RNAcentral.
UCUGACACAGGUGGCUGCAUGGCUGUCGUCAGCUCGUGCGUGAGAUGUUGGUUAAGUCCGUAACGAGCGCAACCCUUGUCCUUAGUUACCAGCACGUUAUGGUGGGCACUCUAAGGAGACUGCCGGUGGACAAACCGGAGGAAGGUGGGGAUGACGUCAAGUCAUCAUGGCCCUUACGGCCUGGGCUACACACGUGCUACAAUGGUCGGUACAAAGGGUUGCCAAGCCGCGAGGUGGAGCUAAUCCCAUAAAACCGAUCGUAGUCCGGAUCGCAGUCUGCAACUCGACUGCGUGAAGUCGGAAUCGCUAGUAAUCGUGAAUCAGAAUGUCACGGUGAAUACGUUCCCGGGCCUU